CUACCUGUCACAGCGAGGAACAACACUCAGGAAGUCUGCUUCAUUCUGCAGCGCGGCGUGAACAAAGACGUCAACAUUCUUCACUCGAGCUGGCGUCCUGCAAGGCGGCAUGAGGAUCUGCACCAAGGAUCUAAAAUGCAUCCACCUGGGCCACACAAUCAGUUUUUUUUCUUCAUAUCGUCAAAUAUUAUAACAAAAGUCUUGAUAAUGCAAAUGUCGGGUUAGUAGAAGCCGUGCUGUAAAGGGCCAAAUUUCAUCUAUUUGUGGCCCAAACUGCAGAAGCAAACCUGCAAGGCGGAACCUCCUGACGUCCUCCGUCAGCAUCUCCGUCGGACACCCAAGGACCUUUUCACCCGCACUCGCUGUAGGCACGCAUUCCCACGUCACAAAUAGACUGUCAGGAGACGCUGACCGAGGCUCGAAGAUGCCUUUCGCUUCACAAAGGCAGCCUAGCAUUGGCACAUUUCCUAGCAUAGCUCAACAUAUCUUCAUCUGGUGCUUUUUCUUUGGCUUUCUGUUGUUGUUUGUUUCCUUUAGCAAAGGCCGCCAGGGUUCAUCAUACAUCAUUUUAACCAGAAACAUGUCUUUCUUGCAGUGGUUAGCCGUUUGUAAUUUUAAAUUAGCCAGAAUAACAUAACAUAUCUUAACAAUGCGACUUCAAACAUUGCCUGUAUGGUCAAUAAAGGUUGUGACCAUG
This is a long non-coding RNA of Syngnathus typhle (broad-nosed pipefish), 697 nucleotides long. RefSeq lists it as uncharacterized. The transcript has 2 exons. The record is from RefSeq and is a predicted model, not a curated record. NCBI's taxonomy places the organism in Eukaryota, Metazoa, Chordata, Actinopteri, Syngnathiformes, Syngnathidae.